This 253-nucleotide ribosomal RNA is filed under the name Staphylococcus aureus. RNAcentral's name for it is "partial 23S ribosomal RNA". It matches the Rfam family "Bacterial large subunit ribosomal RNA", at positions 1 to 250 of the family's 2925-position model. The record is from RNAcentral. Lineage: Bacteria; Bacillati; Bacillota; Bacilli; Caryophanales; Staphylococcaceae.
AGAUUAAGUUAUUAAGGGCGCACGGUGGAUGCCUUGGCACUAGAAGCCGAUGAAGGACGUUACUAACGACGAUAUGCUUUGGGGAGCUGUAAGUAAGCUUUGAUCCAGAGAUUUCCGAAUGGGGAAACCCAGCAUGAGUUAUGUCAUGUUAUCGAUAUGUGAAUACAUAGCAUAUCAGAAGGCACACCCGGAGAACUGAAACAUCUUAGUACCCGGAGGAAGAGAAAGAAAAUUCGAUUCCCUUAGUAGCGGC